Non-coding RNA from Lonchura striata (white-rumped munia), 260 nucleotides. The record is from RefSeq and is a predicted model, not a curated record. NCBI's taxonomy places the organism in Eukaryota, Metazoa, Chordata, Aves, Passeriformes, Estrildidae.
AUUGAAGAGGAGGAAUGGUACAGAAUUCAGUGGCAUUUCAAGAGAUGGUUCUCUCCCUCCAGCUGAACAACAAGUUUGUAGCUUCAACAAAUGGGAAGAAAUGCCUUCCCCAGAAGCACUGUGUACAGCAGCUGGGCACCCCAGGCUAUGGCAAUUUAGACAAAGUUUCCCUACCCAAUUCACCUGCUCCUUUCUUGGAGGUUUCUUGCCAUGGCAUGGCACUGUGAGGAAAAGUAUAGAGAAAUAAAAUACUCAACCAA